GGAGGAAUACCCAAGUCCGGCUGAAGGGAUCGGUCUUGAAAACCGACAGGGUCUUAACGGCUCGCGGGGGUUCGAAUCCCUCUUCCUCCGCCA
This 93-nucleotide transfer RNA is filed under the name Staphylococcus aureus. RNAcentral's name for it is "tRNA-Ser(tga)". It matches the Rfam family "tRNA". Rfam says of the family: Transfer RNA (tRNA) molecules are approximately 80 nucleotides in length. Their secondary structure includes four short double-helical elements and three loops (D, anti-codon, and T loops). The record is from RNAcentral. Lineage: Bacteria; Bacillati; Bacillota; Bacilli; Caryophanales; Staphylococcaceae.